Molecule: unclassified non-coding RNA, 335 nt
Filed under: soil metagenome
Description: partial contains 5.8S ribosomal RNA, internal transcribed spacer 2, and large subunit ribosomal RNA
Rfam family: 5.8S ribosomal RNA (bases 1-120)
Source: RNAcentral
GAUGAAGAACGCAGCGAAAUGCGAUAAGUAAUGUGAAUUGCAGAAUUCAGUGAAUCAUCGAAUCUUUGAACGCACAUUGCGCCCAUUAGCAUUCUAGUGGGCAUGCCUGUUCGAGUGUCAUUUCAACCCUUAAGCCCUGUUGCUUAGCGUUGGGAGCCUACAGUACUGUAGCUCCCCAAAGUUAGUGGCGGAGUCGGUUUCACACUCUAGACGUAGUAAUUUUUUCUCGUCUGUAGUUGAGCCGGUCCCCUGCCGUAAAACACCCAAUUCAUCAAGGUUGACCUCGGAUCAGGUAGGAAUACCCGCUGAACUUAAGCAUAUCAAUAAGCGGAGGA